This 581-nucleotide long non-coding RNA is filed under the name Danio rerio (zebrafish). RNAcentral describes it as "si:dkey-81p22.11, transcript variant 2 (si:dkey-81p22.11)". Lineage: Eukaryota; Metazoa; Chordata; Actinopteri; Cypriniformes; Danionidae. The record is from RNAcentral.
GUUCGUCGUGCGAGGAAAAGUCAGCGUGGUCAUGCUAUCAUAUAAUAUGGCUUUUAUUUGAUUCUGACCCCAAAAGGAACACCUUCAUGUGCAAACGUUUGACCUCAGUUGAACAGCUCCGGGUAAACAAGUCAUCGCAAAUGUCCCCUCCCUCAGUUCCAAACAGCUUGCAUCCCAUCAGCGCGCAUGUUUUGCCAGGACAGAUGACAGGAAAACAGUAUCAGCUCAUGUUCAUAAUAAGGUAGGUGUAAGAGGACUUUGCCGUUGACUUUUCCUUGUGGUCCUUCUUAUACUUCAUGCGACGGUUUUGGAACCAGAUUUUAAUCUGCCGGUCGGUGAGCUUCAGCAGCUCAGCCAUUUCAAGUCUCCGGUUGCGGCACAGCCUCACUUGUGGAUUUCCAGAGGCCCAUGACUGAAGGUCGCAGCUCUAGUUUUUGAUCAGCGGAGGACCAGCGGAAAUUAUUAACAUGCUACUUCAUAAUAACAUAUCACAUAACAUUACAUAAAAAUCUGUUUUUCUGUAUUGUUUAAAUGUCGUAACAUAUGACAAUAAAUGGAAUUUUAAAAAGCCAAAAAAAAAA